GUGACAGCCAUGUGAUAGGUGUGAGGGAUAGCCCACGCCAUGGCACUAGGGGUAAGCGUGACAGCCAUGUGAUAGGUGUCAGGGAUAGUCCACGCAUGGCACUAGGGGUAAGUGUGACAGCCAUGUGACAGCCCACGCCAUGGCACUAGGGGUAAGUGUGACAGCCAUGUGACAGGUGUCAUGGAUAGCUCACGGGGAUAGCCCACGCCAUGGCACUAGGGGUAAGUGUGACUGCCAUGUGACAGGUGUCAGGGAUAGCCCACGCCAUGGCACUAGGGGUAAGUGUGACAGCCAUGUGACAGCCAUGUGACAGGUGUCAGGCAUAGCCAACGCCAUGGCACUAGGGGUAAGUGUGACAGCCAUGUGACAGGUGUCAGGGAUAGCCCACGCCAUGGCACUAGGGGUAAGUGUGACAGCCAUGUGACAGGUGUCAGGGAUAGCUCACGGGGAUAGCUCAUGCCAUGGCACUAGGGGUCAGUGUGACAAACAUGUGACAGCUAUGUGACAGGUGUUAGGGAUAGCUCACGCCAUGGCACUAGAGGUAAGUGUGACAGCCAUGUGACAGGUGUUAGGGAUAGCUCACGCCAUGGCACUAGGGGUCAGUGUGACAGCCAUGUGAUAGGUGUCAGGGAUAGCCCACACCAUGGCACUAGGGGUAAGUGUGACAGCCAUGUGGCAGGUGUCAGGGAUAGUCCAUGCCGUGGCACUAGGGGUCAGUGUGACAGCCAUGUGACAGGUGUUAGGGAAAGCCCACGCUGUGGCACUAGGGGUAAGUGUGACAGCCAUGUGACAGGUGUUAGGGAUAGUCCACGCCAUGGCACUAGGGGUCAGUGUGACAGCCAUGUGACAGGUGUUAGGGAUAGCCCACGCCAUGGCGCUAGGGGUAAGGAUGACAGCCAUGUGACAGGUGUUAGGGAUAGCCCACGCUGUGGCACUAGGGGUCAGUGUGACAGGUGUUAGGGAUAGCCCACAUCAUGGCACAAGGGGUAAGUGUGACAGCCAUGUGACAGGUGUUAGGGAUAGCCCACACCAUGGCACUAGGGGUAAGUGUGACAGCCAUGUGACAGCCAUGUGACAGGUGUUAGGGAUAGCCCACGCCAUGGCACUAGGGGUAAGUGUGACAGCCAUGUGACAGCCAUGUGACAGGUGUUAGGGAUAGCCCACACCAUGUCACUAGGGGUAAGUGUGACAGCCAUGUGACAGGUGUUAGGGAUAGCCCACGCCAUGGCACUAGGGGUAAGUGUGACAGCCAUGUGACAGGUGUCAGGGAUAGCCCACGCCAUGGCACUAGGGGUAAGUGUGACAGCCAUGUGACAGGUGUUAGGGAUAGCCCACACCAUGGCACUAGGGGUAAGUGUGACAGCAAUGUGACAGGUGUUAGGGAUAGCCCACGCCGUGGCACUAGGGGUCAGUGUGACAGGUGUUAGGGAUAGCCCACGCCAUGGCACUAGGGGUCAGUGUGACAGCCAUGUGACAGGUGUUAGGGAUAGCCCACGCCAUGGCACUAGGGGUCAGUGUGACAGCCAUGUGACAGGUGUCAGGGAUAGCCCACGCCAUGGCACUAGGGGUAAGUGUGACAGCCAUGUGACAGGUGUCAGGG
RNAcentral lists this long non-coding RNA (1600 nucleotides) under Haliotis rufescens (red abalone). Its description in RNAcentral is "uncharacterized LOC125378520". The record is from RNAcentral. Lineage: Eukaryota; Metazoa; Mollusca; Gastropoda; Lepetellida; Haliotidae.